UUUAACUGAAGAGUUUGAUCAUGGCUCAGAUUGAACGCUGGCGGCAGGCUUAACACAUGCAAGUCGAGCGGGGGAAGGUAGCUUGCUACUGGACCUAGCGGCGGACGGGUGAGUAAUGCUUAGGAAUCUGCCUAUUAGUGGGGGACAACAUCUCGAAAGGGAUGCUAAUACCGCAUACGUCCUACGGGAGAAAGCAGGGGAUCUUCGGACCUUGCGCUAAUAGAUGAGCCUAAGUCGGAUUAGCUAGUUGGUGGGGUAAAGGCCUACCAAGGCGACGAUCUGUAGCGGGUCUGAGAGGAUGAUCCGCCACACUGGGACUGAGACACGGCCCAGACUCCU
This 339-nucleotide ribosomal RNA is filed under the name Acinetobacter baumannii. RNAcentral describes it as "bacterial SSU rRNA". It matches the Rfam family "Bacterial small subunit ribosomal RNA", at positions 1 to 340 of the family's 1533-position model. The record is from RNAcentral. Lineage: Bacteria; Pseudomonadati; Pseudomonadota; Gammaproteobacteria; Moraxellales; Moraxellaceae.